This 387-nucleotide unclassified non-coding RNA is filed under the name Basidiomycota sp. RNAcentral describes it as "partial contains small subunit ribosomal RNA, internal transcribed spacer 1, and 5.8S ribosomal RNA". The stretch from base 1 to 47 matches the Rfam family "Eukaryotic small subunit ribosomal RNA", at positions 1785 to 1831 of the family's 1831-position model. The record is from RNAcentral. Lineage: Eukaryota; Fungi; Basidiomycota.
AAAGUCGUAACAAGGUUUCCGUAGGUGAACCUGCGGAAGGAUCAUUAACACGUAUCCACGUUAAUCACCCGAGAACUUACUUAGGACUAGCUGAGGAUCAAGUAAAAAGCUUCGGCUCCGGCCCCUUUUCCUUUCUUUCGGGAAGGGAUCAAAGGUGGACAUUGAACCCCAGCUUCCUAAGCUGGUAUUCACCUCUUCGGAGGUGAAUACCAACAAGAACCUUGCGAGGGGUCUUUCGAGACUCCUCAAAGGGUUCUUGACGAGUAAACCCCUUUUUCUUUUUUCUUUUGCCUUGUGCAAAAGGAAAAAAACCCUAAAAGCCGUCUCUUUGUAGACCGCUUUUAACCGAAUACUGUACAACUCUUAGCAACGGAUAUCUUGGUUCUG